Danionella cerebrum is the source of this 74-nucleotide non-coding RNA. The record is from the annotation of a GenBank genome assembly. NCBI's taxonomy places the organism in Eukaryota, Metazoa, Chordata, Actinopteri, Cypriniformes, Danionidae.
GUCUCUGUGGCACAAUUGAUUAGCCCGUUCACCUGUUAAUUGAAAGGUUGGUGGUUCAAGACCACCCAGGGACG